GAUGAACGCUAGCGGCAGGCUUAAUACAUGCAAGUCGAGGGGCAGCAUAAGUAGCAAUACUUGAUGGCGACCGGCAAACGGGUGCGGAACACGUACGCAACCUUCCUUUAAGUGGGGAAUAGCCCGGGGAAACCCGGAUUAAUACCCCGUAAUAUUAUGAUGUGGCAUCACAUUAUAAUUAUAGAUUCAUCGCUUAAAGAUGGGCGUGCGCCUGAUUAGGUAGUUGGCGGAGUAAUAGCCCACCAAGCCUGCGAUCAGUAACUGGUGUGAGAGCACGACCAGUCACACGGGCACUGAGACACGGGCCCGACUCCUACGGGAGGCAGCAGUAAGGAAUAUUGGU
This 343-nucleotide ribosomal RNA is filed under the name uncultured bacterium. Its description in RNAcentral is "bacterial SSU rRNA". It matches the Rfam family "Bacterial small subunit ribosomal RNA", at positions 28 to 368 of the family's 1533-position model. The record is from RNAcentral.